RNAcentral lists this ribosomal RNA (1371 nucleotides) under metagenome. RNAcentral's name for it is "bacterial LSU rRNA". It matches the Rfam family "Bacterial large subunit ribosomal RNA", at positions 1565 to 2925 of the family's 2925-position model. The record is from RNAcentral.
GAUGCAUACCCGUUGUGGGGAAUUCAGUGAUCCUAUGCUGCCGAGAAAAGCCUCUAGUGAGUUCAUACACGGCCCGUACCCCAAACCGACACAGGUGAUCAGGUAGAGAAUACCAAGGCGAUCGAGAGAACUGUGGUUAAGGAACUCGGCAAAAUGCCCCCGUAACUUCGGGAGAAGGGGGACCAUGCCCGGUGAACAUCUUCACGGUGGGAGCUGGGUGUGGUCGCAGAGACCAGAGAGAAGCGACUGUUUACUAAAAACACAGGUCCGUGCGAAGACGUAAGUCGAUGUAUACGGACUGACGCCUGCCCGGUGCUGGAAGGUUAAGAGGACCGGUUAGCCGUAAGGCGAAGCUGAGAAUUUAAGCCCCAGUAAACGGCGGUGGUAACUAUAACCAUCCUAAGGUAGCGAAAUUCCUUGUCGGGUAAGUUCCGACCUGCACGAAUGGCGUAACGACUUCUCUGCUGUCUCGACCACAGACUCGGCGAAAUUGCACUACGAGUAAAGAUGCUCGUUACGCGCGGCAGGACGAAAAGACCCCGGGACCUUUACUAUAGCUUGGUAUUGGCGUUCGAUUCGGUUUGUGUAGGAUAGGUGGGAGACUGUGAAGCAUGCACGCCAGUGUGUGUGGAGUCGUUGUUGAAAUACCACUCUGAUCGUAUUGGACGUCUAACCUCGGCCCAUGAUCUGGGUUAGGGACAGUGCCUGGUGGGUAGUUUAACUGGGGCGGUUGCCUCCUAAAGAGUAACGGAGGCGCCCAAAGGUUCCCUCAGCCUGGAUGGCAAUCAGGUGUUGAGUGCAAGUGCACAAGGGAGCUUGACUGUGAGACUGACACGUCGAGCAGGGACGAAAGUCGGGACUAGUGAUCCGGCACCGGCAAGUGGAAGCGGUGUCGCUCAACGGAUAAAAGGUACCCCGGGGAUAACAGGCUGAUCUUCCCCAAGAGUCCAUAUCGACGGGAUGGUUUGGCACCUCGAUGUCGGCUCGUCGCAUCCUGGGGCUGGAGUAGGUCCCAAGGGUUGGGCUGUUCGCCCAUUAAAGCGGCACGCGAGCUGGGUUUAGAACGUCGUGAGACAGUUCGGUCUCUAUCCGCCGCGCGCGUAAGAAACUUGAGGAAGGCUGUCCCUAGUACGAGAGGACCGGGACGGACGAACCUCUGGUGUGCCAGUUGUUCCACCAGGAGCAUGGCUGGUUAGCUACGUUCGGAAGGGAUAACCGCUGAAAGCAUCUAAGCGGGAAGCCUGUUCCAAGAUGAGGUUUCUCACCACCUUGCGUGGUUAAGGCCCCCUACAGACCAUGGGGUUGAUAGGCCGGAACUGGAAGCGCAGCAAUGCGUGGAGGUGACCGGUACUAAUAGGCCGAGGGCUUACC